This 472-nucleotide unclassified non-coding RNA is filed under the name plant metagenome. Its description in RNAcentral is "partial contains 5.8S ribosomal RNA, internal transcribed spacer 2, and large subunit ribosomal RNA". The record is from RNAcentral.
ACCGCGGUGCUCUUUGGCGACGGGGCAGGCGCGGUGGUCCUCGAGCGCGGUUCCGGCGAGUCCGGUUUUGUUGACCACAUCCUCGGCGCAGACGGCCGGAUGGCACCCCUGGGGCGAGCCGGACACCCGGGCACGCAGCACAAGCUCUACCAGAACGGCCGCGAAGUCUUCAAGUUUGCCGCGAGGAUCUUUCCAGAGAUGACCGAGAAACUCCUCGCCCGCAACGGCGUCUCCCCCGAAGAAGUCCAAUACGUGAUUCCCCACCAAGCAAACGCACGCAUAAUACACGCGGCGAUGAGGAGGAUGGAGAUACCGGAGGAGAGGGUCGUGAUAAACCUAACCCGGUUCGGCAACACUUCGGCGGCUAGCAUCCCGAUCUCCUACCCGGACAUCUUCGACAGUUUCGAGUCGGGGCGUUACGUUGUUACGGUCGGUUUCGGGUUCGGGUUGACCUGGGCGGCGAACCUGUACA